GGCAUGGUGGCCAAGUGUUAAGGCAUUGGUCGUGUGAACCAAAAAUCACGGGUUCGAACCCUGACCGUGCCU
Non-coding RNA from Gymnothorax javanicus (giant moray), 72 nucleotides. The record is from the annotation of a GenBank genome assembly. NCBI's taxonomy places the organism in Eukaryota, Metazoa, Chordata, Actinopteri, Anguilliformes, Muraenidae.